This is a long non-coding RNA of Lates calcarifer (barramundi perch), 701 nucleotides long. RefSeq lists it as uncharacterized. NCBI's taxonomy places the organism in Eukaryota, Metazoa, Chordata, Actinopteri, Centropomidae. The transcript is spliced from 4 exons. The record is from RefSeq and is a predicted model, not a curated record.
CUACAUAUCUCCCUACCUCCUGUGACAUCCCACUAUGCCACAAAAAAAUGAAACCCCAAACAAAUGGCUUCCGUGGUCACAUCAAACUGCCUCGUCCGCCAUGAAAAACGGUUGCUCUUCAGCAUACAGCAGCAACCCCUGCGCGACUGUCAGGAGAUUCGCCGUUUUCCCCUUUGAGUGUGUGUGGAAUGUGUGGCUGCUGUUGUUGCGAUCAAUCCCAAUUUAACAGACACCAGCUCAAAGUCAACCUUCAGGGAGCCAUGAAAGCUGACAGAUGUUGCUGUGUGAAGUCUGGGAACUGUCCUCAAGUGAUGUCACUUGAGUCAGUGUUGGGGCUGAAGACUACAGAUAGGCAGCCAAGCAGGCCUCUAAACACCAGACUGACACUGUGUUCUACUUAAUCUUGGAUGAGGAGCAGCGGUAACAGAAUCCAAAGAAGGGAUGAACUGGGAGCUGGAAGAGAGAGAGAGAGGAGAGCUGCUGUCAACAAGCUCUUAUGGCUAUCUGUAGGAGUGAGUGCAGGACUAAUCUACGCUGUAAAACAUCUAAAUCCUCCUCUAGAUGUUCACUUCAGAAACAUUACUGCAUCAGUGGCAUCCAAAGUUUUGAGCUGCUGGCCUUCAACAUAAAAAGCAAAUAACUCCAGUUUUUGUAAAUUUCCGCAUUGUGGGACUAAUAAAGGAUUAUCUUAUCUUAUCUUA